CCUACGGGUGGCAGCAGUGAGGAAUAUUGGUCAAUGGACGAGAGUCUGAACCAGCCAAGUAGCGUGAAGGAUGACUGCCCUAUGGGUUGUAAACUCCUUUUAUAUGGGAAUAAAAUGUUCCACGUGUGGGAUUUUGUAUGUACCAUAUGAAUAAGGAUCGGCGAACUCCGUGCAAGCAGCCGCGGUAAUACGGAGGGUCCGAGCGUUAUCCGGAUUUAGUGGGUGUAAAGGGAGCGUAGGUGGAGUGGUAAGUCAGUUGUGAAAGUUUGCGGCUCAACCGUAAAAUUGCAGUUGAAACUGGCAGGCUUGAGUACAGGAGAGGUGGGCGGAAUUCGUGGUGUAGCGGUGAAAUGCUUAGAUAUCACGAAGAACUCCGAUUGCGAAGGCAGCUCACUGGACUGCAACUGACACUGAGGCUCGAAAGUGUGGGUAGCAAACAGGAUUAGAUACCCAGGUAGUC
RNAcentral lists this ribosomal RNA (460 nucleotides) under uncultured bacterium. RNAcentral's name for it is "partial 16S ribosomal RNA". It matches the Rfam family "Bacterial small subunit ribosomal RNA", at positions 338 to 795 of the family's 1533-position model. The record is from RNAcentral.